UGGCUCAGGACGAACGCUGGCGGCGUGCUUAACACAUGCAAGUCGAACGAUGAACCACUUCGGUGGGGAUUAGUGGCGAACGGGUGAGUAACACGUGGGCAAUCUGCCCUGCACUCUGGGACAAGCCCUGGAAACGGGGUCUAAUACCGGAUACGACGCGCUCAGGCAUCUGAUGCGCGUGGAAAGCUCCGGCGGUGCAGGAUGAGCCCGCGGCCUAUCAGCUUGUUGGUGAGGUAACGGCUCACCAAGGCGACGACGGGUAGCCGGCCUGAGAGGGCGACCGGCCACACUGGGACUGAGACACGGCCCAGACUCCUACGGGAGGCAGCAGUGGGGAAUAUUGCACAAUGGGCGAAAGCCUGAUGCAGCGACGCCGCGUGAGGGAUGACGGCCUUCGGGUUGUAAACCUCUUUCAGCAGGGAAGAAGCGAAAGUGACGGUACCUGCAGAAGA
This 452-nucleotide ribosomal RNA is filed under the name Streptomyces calvus. RNAcentral describes it as "bacterial SSU rRNA". It matches the Rfam family "Bacterial small subunit ribosomal RNA", at positions 20 to 488 of the family's 1533-position model. Lineage: Bacteria; Bacillati; Actinomycetota; Actinomycetes; Kitasatosporales; Streptomycetaceae. The record is from RNAcentral.